AGCGUACACGGUGGAUGCCCUGGCAGUCAGAGGCGAUGAAGGACGUGCUAAUCUGCGAUAAGCGUCGGUAAGGUGAUAUGAACCGUUAUAACCGGCGAUUUCCGAAUGGGGAAACCCAGUGUGAUUCGUCACACUAUCAUUAACUGAAUCCAUAGGUUAAUGAGGCGAACCGGGGGAACUGAAACAUCUAAGUACCCCGAGGAAAAGAAAUCAACCGAGAUUCCCCCAGUAGCGGCGAGCGAACGGGGAGCAGCCCAGAGCCUGAAUCAGUGUGUGUGUUAGUGGAAGCGUCUGGAAAGGCGCGCGAUACAGGGUGACAGCCCCGUACACAAAAAUGCACAUGCUGUGAGCUCGAUGAGUAGGGCGGGACACGUGGUAUCCUGUCUGAAUAUGGGGGGACCAUCCUCCAAGGCUAAAUACUCCUGACUGACCGAUAGUGAACCAGUACCGUGAGGGAAAGGCGAAAAGAACCCCGGCGAGGGGAGUGAAAAAGAACCUGAAACCGUGUACGUACAAGCAGUGGGAGCACGCUUAGGCGUGUGACUGCGUACCUUUUGUAUAAUGGGUCAGCGACUUAUAUUCUGUAGCAAGGUUAACCGAAUAGGGGAGCCGAAGGGAAACCGAGUCUUAACUGGGCGUUAAGUUGCAGGGUAUAGACCCGAAACCCGGUGAUCUAGCCAUGGGCAGGUUGAAGGUUGGGUAACACUAACUGGAGGACCGAACCGACUAAUGUUGAAAAAUUAGCGGAUGACUUGUGGCUGGGGGUGAAAGGCCAAUCAAACCGGGAGAUAGCUGGUUCUCCCCGAAAGCUAUUUAGGUAGCGCCUCGUGAAUUCAUCUCCGGGGGUAGAGCACUGUUUCGGCAAGGGGGUCAUCCCGACUUACCAACCCGAUGCAAACUGCGAAUACCGGAGAAUGUUAUCACGGGAGACACACGGCGGGUGCUAACGUCCGUCGUGAAGAGGGAAACAACCCAGACCGCCAGCUAAGGUCCCAAAGUCAUGGUUAAGUGGGAAACGAUGUGGGAAGGCCCAGACAGCCAGGAUGUUGGCUUAGAAGCAGCCAUCAUUUAAAGAAAGCGUAAUAGCUCACUGGUCGAGUCGGCCUGCGCGGAAGAUGUAACGGGGCUAAACCAUGCACCGAAGCUGCGGCAGCGACGCUUAUGCGUUGUUGGGUAGGGGAGCGUUCUGUAAGCCUGUGAAGGUGUACUGUGAGGUAUGCUGGAGGUAUCAGAAGUGCGAAUGCUGACAUAAGUAACGAUAAAGCGGGUGAAAAGCCCGCUCGCCGGAAGACCAAGGGUUCCUGUCCAACGUUAAUCGGGGCAGGGUGAGUCGACCCCUAAGGCGAGGCCGAAAGGCGUAGUCGAUGGGAAACAGGUUAAUAUUCCUGUACUUGGUGUUACUGCGAAGGGGGGACGGAGAAGGCUAUGUUGGCCGGGCGACGGUUGUCCCGGUUUAAGCGUGUAGGCUGGUUUUCCAGGCAAAUCCGGAAAAUCAAGGCUGAGGCGUGAUGACGAGGCACUACGGUGCUGAAGCAACAAAUGCCCUGCUUCCAGGAAAAGCCUCUAAGCAUCAGGUAACAUCAAAUCGUACCCCAAACCGACACAGGUGGUCAGGUAGAGAAUACCAAGGCGCUUGAGAGAACUCGGGUGAAGGAACUAGGCAAAAUGGUGCCGUAACUUCGGGAGAAGGCACGCUGAUAUGUAGGUGAAGUCCCUCGCGGAUGGAGCUGAAAUCAGUCGAAGAUACCAGCUGGCUGCAACUGUUUAUUAAAAACACAGCACUGUGCAAACACGAAAGUGGACGUAUACGGUGUGACGCCUGCCCGGUGCCGGAAGGUUAAUUGAUGGGGUCAGCGCAAGCGAAGCUCUUGAUCGAAGCCCCGGUAAACGGCGGCCGUAACUAUAACGGUCCUAAGGUAGCGAAAUUCCUUGUCGGGUAAGUUCCGACCUGCACGAAUGGCGUAAUGAUGGCCAGGCUGUCUCCACCCGAGACUCAGUGAAAUUGAACUCGCUGUGAAGAUGCAGUGUACCCGCGGCAAGACGGAAAGACCCCGUGAACCUUUACUAUAGCUUGACACUGAACAUUGAGCCUUGAUGUGUAGGAUAGGUGGGAGGCUUUGAAGUGUGGACGCCAGUCUGCAUGGAGCCGACCUUGAAAUACCACCCUUUAAUGUUUGAUGUUCUAACGUUGACCCGUAAUCCGGGUUGCGGACAGUGUCUGGUGGGUAGUUUGACUGGGGCGGUCUCCUCCUAAAGAGUAACGGAGGAGCACGAAGGUUGGCUAAUCCUGGUCGGACAUCAGGAGGUUAGUGCAAUGGCAUAAGCCAGCUUGACUGCGAGCGUGACGGCGCGAGCAGGUGCGAAAGCAGGUCAUAGUGAUCCGGUGGUUCUGAAUGGAAGGGCCAUCGCUCAACGGAUAAAAGGUACUCCGGGGAUAACAGGCUGAUACCGCCCAAGAGUUCAUAUCGACGGCGGUGUUUGGCACCUCGAUGUCGGCUCAUCACAUCCUGGGGCUGAAGUAGGUCCCAAGGGUAUGGCUGUUCGCCAUUUAAAGUGGUACGCGAGCUGGGUUUAGAACGUCGUGAGACAGUUCGGUCCCUAUCUGCCGUGGGCGCUGGAGAACUGAGGGGGGCUGCUCCUAGUACGAGAGGACCGGAGUGGACGCAUCACUGGUGUUCGGGUUGUCAUGCCAAUGGCACUGCCCGGUAGCUAAAUGCGGAAGAGAUAAGUGCUGAAAGCAUCUAAGCACGAAACUUGCCCCGAGAUGAGUUCUCCCUGACUCCUUGA
Molecule: ribosomal RNA, 2787 nt
Filed under: Escherichia coli
Lineage: Bacteria; Pseudomonadati; Pseudomonadota; Gammaproteobacteria; Enterobacterales; Enterobacteriaceae
Description: bacterial LSU rRNA
Rfam family: Bacterial large subunit ribosomal RNA
Source: RNAcentral